GAUGAACGCUGGCGGCGUGCCUAAUACAUGCAAGUCGAGCGAACAGACGAGGAGCUUGCUCCUCUGACGUUAGCGGCGGACGGGUGAGUAACACGUGGAUAACCUACCUAUAAUACUGGGAUAACUUCGGGAAACCGGAGCUAAUACCGGAUAAUAUAUUGAACCGCAUGGUUCAAUAGUGAAAGACGGUUUUGCUGUCACUUAUAGAUGGAUCCGCGCCGCAUUAGCUAGUUGGUAAGAUAACGGCUUACCAAGGCAACGAUGCGUAGCCGACCUGAGAGGGUGAUCGGCCACACUGGAACUGAGACACGGUCCAGACUCCUACGGGAGGCAGCAGUAGGGAAUCUUCCGCAAUGGGCGAAAGCCUGACGGAGCAACGCCGCGUGAGUGAUGAAGGUCUUCGGAUCGUAAAACUCUGUUAUUAGGGAAGAACAAAUGUGUAAGUAACUAUGCACGUCUUGACGGUACCUAAUCAGAAAGCCACGGCUAACUACGUG
RNAcentral lists this ribosomal RNA (497 nucleotides) under uncultured bacterium. RNAcentral describes it as "partial 16S ribosomal RNA". It matches the Rfam family "Bacterial small subunit ribosomal RNA", at positions 28 to 507 of the family's 1533-position model. The record is from RNAcentral.